This 202-nucleotide long non-coding RNA is filed under the name Gossypium barbadense (sea-island cotton). RNAcentral describes it as "long non-coding RNA (GBAR_LNC020924)". Lineage: Eukaryota; Viridiplantae; Streptophyta; Magnoliopsida; Malvales; Malvaceae. The record is from RNAcentral.
CCAUGCAAUAUUUCCCAAAAAUAUCAAAAUAGAAAUUCCCAUGCUACAGUCCACAACUUAAAAUAAAGUCCUAAAAAGUUAUUAAGACAAACCAAAAUUAAAGUCCAUAAUAAAAUCCAAAACAAACUCAUAUAGUUCGUAAAAGUUCCAAAAUUAUUUUUAAAAUCCAUAACCAAGAAAACAUUAUUCUGAGAGCUCCUCC